GAUGAACGCUGGCGGCGUGCCUAAUACAUGCAAGUCGAACGGACGGACGCGACGCUUGUUUCUCUGAUGUUAGCGGAGGACGGGUGAGAAACACGUGGAUAAUCUACCUAUAAGACUGGGAUAAUCACGGAAAACCGGAGAUAAUACCGGAGAAUCUUUUGAACCGCGUGGUUCGAUAGUAAAAGACGGUCUUGCUGGCACUACUAGCUGGAUCCGCGCUGUAUUGGCUGGUUGGUGAGGUAACGGCUUAUCAAGGCAACUAUGCAUUGGCGAGCUAAGAGGGUGGUCGGCGACACGGGAGCUGAGCCACGGUCCAUGGUCCUAGGGGAGGGAGCAGAAUGGUACCGUCGGCAAUGGGGGGGAGCCUGGCGGAGCAACGCGGCGUGUGUGGUGAAGGCCUUCGGAGCGUAAUACUCUGUUAUUAGUGAAGAACAGAUGUGUACGUAACUGUGCACAUCUUGACGGUACCGAAUCAGAAAGCCCCGGCUAACUACGUG
RNAcentral lists this ribosomal RNA (497 nucleotides) under uncultured bacterium. RNAcentral's name for it is "partial 16S ribosomal RNA". It matches the Rfam family "Bacterial small subunit ribosomal RNA", at positions 28 to 507 of the family's 1533-position model. The record is from RNAcentral.